Zonotrichia leucophrys gambelii is the source of this 767-nucleotide long non-coding RNA. RefSeq lists it as uncharacterized. Lineage: Eukaryota; Metazoa; Chordata; Aves; Passeriformes; Passerellidae. The record is from RefSeq and is a predicted model, not a curated record. The transcript is spliced from 5 exons.
CAGCUUUUCCUCUUGGGAACAGCUGCUGCUGGUGAAGCUUUUGCAGGAUGCAGACUGUGAAAUCUGGGGCCAUUUUGUGCCAGUAUUUCCCUGUUGUUCCAGCUCAGGAGCAAGCUCCAGUCGAGUUCCUUGCACUUCUUGGACCAGGUAGUUUGUGAUCAGCCCAGGUGCCACACAGAUGUCAAGAGAUGCUAAUGAGGCCACUUCUACUUUGCACCGUGACCCUGGCACGGCGUGUGCCAGCACCAGUGAGGGGAUAGACUGGAGCAGCUGCCUUCCCCAGGGCCAAGCCAUUAUCGCCCAAACUACAGAAAAACCCAGAUCUUCCUGCUGAAUGAUGGCUGAAGAGAGCAAGCACCAUCCCACACACAUCACUCCAGGCAUUGUGAAAAGUACUUCUGGUCUUUGGUCCUGUUCUGGGGAGCUCACAUGUGACCCAGGUGUAAUUACAGCCCUCUCAGCCAGCACUGGUGGGAUCUGUGCUGGGACACCUGCGAGCUGGAACGUGUCUCACAGGUUGGAAAAAGUGCUUUAUAGCUACAUGAAAGGGACUGUGCCUAAGCCUGGAAUUACUGACAUCUGUGUAUCAUUUCAGUGGUAAAUUACAGCUGGGACAUGCUAACCCCAAAGUUGACAGCCCAAGAGCAGAAAUGCACAUGCAAGCAGUAACUGUACCUGUGACCACAAAUGUAGGAUGCAGCAAAAUCUCAUUUUCCCUUUGUGCUCCUGCAGUCUGGCAUAAUAAGGAAACUCAGAAAUAUUUCAUG